GAUUAACGCUAGCGGCAGGCAUAAUACAUGCAAGUUGAACGAGAUAAGUUUUAGCAAUAGAACUUUGAAAGAGGCGCACGGGUGCGUAACACGUAUGCAACCUACCUUUUACUGGGGAAUAGCCUCUCGAAAGAGAGAUUAAUACCCCAUAAUAUAUUGAUAAGGCAUCUUAUUAAUAUUAAAGUUACGGCGGUAAAAGAUGGGCAUGCGGCUGAUUAGGUAGUUGGUGAGGUAAUGGCUCACCAAGCCGACGAUCAGUAGGGGGUCUGAGAGGAUGUCCCCCCACACUGGUACUGAGACACGGACCAGACUCCUACGGGAGGCAGCAGUAGGGAAUAUUGGACAAUGGGCGCAAGCCUGAUCCAGCCAUGCCGCGUGCAGGAUGAAGGCCCUAUGGGUCGUAAACUGCUUUUGUACGGGAAGAAACCUCACUACGUGUAGUGAGUUGACGGUACCGUGAGAAUAAGGAUCGGCUAACUUCGUGCCAGCAGCCGCGGUAA
This 500-nucleotide ribosomal RNA is filed under the name uncultured bacterium. Its description in RNAcentral is "partial 16S ribosomal RNA". It matches the Rfam family "Bacterial small subunit ribosomal RNA", at positions 28 to 523 of the family's 1533-position model. The record is from RNAcentral.